RNAcentral lists this transfer RNA (64 nucleotides) under Polydora cf. ciliata DS-2023. RNAcentral's name for it is "tRNA-Arg". The record is from RNAcentral. Lineage: Eukaryota; Metazoa; Annelida; Polychaeta; Spionida; Spionidae.
AGGCAGAACUGUAAAACAAAAUGAUUUCGGCUCAUUCCGUGGGAAAAUUCUUUCCCUCUGCCUU